RNAcentral lists this ribosomal RNA (406 nucleotides) under uncultured bacterium. RNAcentral describes it as "partial 16S ribosomal RNA". It matches the Rfam family "Bacterial small subunit ribosomal RNA", at positions 30 to 526 of the family's 1533-position model. The record is from RNAcentral.
AUUGAACGCUAGCGGGAUGCUUUACACAUGCAAGUCGAACGAGUGGCGAACGGGUGAGUAAUGUAUCGGAACGUGCCCCGUAGCGGGGGAUAACUACGAGAAAGCGUAGCUAAUACCGCAUACUAUUUGAGUGGCCGAUAUCGGAUUAGCUAGUAGGUGGGGUAACGGCUCACCUAGGGGACGAUCCCUAGCUGGUCUGAGAGGAUGACCAGCCACACUGUAACUGAGACACGGUCCAGACUCCUACGGGAGGCAGCAGUGGGGAAUAUUGCACAAUGGGCGCAAGCCUGAUGCAGCCAUGCCGCGUGUAUGAAGAAGGCCUUCGGGUUGUAAAGUACUUUCAGCGAGGAGGCGUUACUCGCAGAAGAAGCACCGGCUAACUCCGUGCCAGCAGCCGCGGUAAUAC